Long non-coding RNA from Solanum tuberosum (potato), 507 nucleotides. RefSeq lists it as uncharacterized. The record is from RefSeq and is a predicted model, not a curated record. The transcript is spliced from 3 exons. NCBI's taxonomy places the organism in Eukaryota, Viridiplantae, Streptophyta, Magnoliopsida, Solanales, Solanaceae.
UCUUUUAAUAAAAUAAUCCCAAAACCCCAAUUCCCCUACUCAUAUUUUCUUCCCAACACAGCCGCAUAAAAACGAGCCCUAGCUCGACGAUGAUUGAUGAGGCUUCGUUAGAAGAGAUUGAUCGACGAAUCCUUAGCUAUCAUUCGCUCCAACAAGGGUUCAAUUCUAAUGUCAUCAAACAUUAUUAUACCAACAAUCUUCAACAACUAAACAUGAGCAUAAUAAGACAUUGGGGAAUGGAAGUGCAAGAGUCUUGGUACAAUAUAAGGGAAUGCAAGUCCAAGAGUUGUCUGUAGCAGGGACAACAAGGUUCUUAAGAAAUGAGAUCGGUCAAGAAGGAGCUUGAGGCAUGCCAUGAAAGUUUUUUGAUUGUAUAUAUAUUAGUACAAUGCCACUGAAGUAUUAUGUCGUAAAUAUGUCAUUGACAUUUUAGUAGUGGAAGUAUUUAUAAUAUUUGGUCGGAGAAUGAUUUUAUAGUUUAAAUACUAUUUGAUGUUUUUAAAGUUA